UACGUAGGGUCCAAGCGUUAUCCGGAAUCACUGGGCGUAAAGCGUUUGUAGGCGGAAAUUUAAGUGAGAUGCGAAAUCUUGUGGCUCAACCAUAUAGAUGGUAUCUCAUACUGGGUUUCUAGAAGAUAGCAGAGGUAAGUGGAAUUAGUAGUGUAGCGGUAAAAUGCGUAGAUAUUACUAGGAACACUAAUGGCGAAGGCAGCUUACUGGGCUAUAUUUGACGCUGAGAAACGAAAGCGUGGGGAGCGAACAGG
Molecule: ribosomal RNA, 254 nt
Filed under: uncultured bacterium
Lineage: Bacteria
Description: partial 16S ribosomal RNA
Rfam family: Bacterial small subunit ribosomal RNA
Source: RNAcentral